RNAcentral lists this ribosomal RNA (402 nucleotides) under uncultured bacterium. RNAcentral describes it as "partial 16S ribosomal RNA". It matches the Rfam family "Bacterial small subunit ribosomal RNA", at positions 338 to 755 of the family's 1533-position model. The record is from RNAcentral.
CCUACGUGUGGCAGCAGUGAGGAAUAUUGGGCAAUGGGCGCAAGCCUGACCCAGCAACGCCGCGUGAAGGAAGAAGGCUUUCGGGUUGUAAACUUCUUUUAAGGGGGAAGAGCAGAAGACGGUACCCCUGGAAUAAGCCACGGCUAACGACGGGCCAGCAGCCGCGGUAAUACGUAGGUGGCAAGCGUUGUCCGGAGUUACUGGGUGUAAAGGGCGUGCAGCAGGAGAGACACGUCAGAUUUGAAAUCCACGGGCUCAACCCGUGAACUGCAUUUGAAACUGUUUCCCUUGAGUGUCGGAGAGUUAAUCGGAAUUCCUUGUGUAGCGGUGACAUGCGUAGAGAUCACGAGGAAUACUCAUUGCGACUGCGACCUGCUAGAACAUAACUGACGCUGAUGCGCG